Molecule: long non-coding RNA, 950 nt
Filed under: Oryzias javanicus (javanese ricefish)
Lineage: Eukaryota; Metazoa; Chordata; Actinopteri; Beloniformes; Adrianichthyidae
Description: lncRNA (ENSOJAG00000007460.1)
Source: RNAcentral
CUUGCAGAAAUCUUCCUUGAAAACGAUUCCAAGAUUCUUACAUGCUGAACAGUUCUUGGUUUUUUUCCAGAUGGCGUCUCGGUGGUGUCUCAUAACAAACUGCAUGAUGACCUGUCUGUGUCUGCCCUCCUCCUUUCUCCCCAACCGAUGAACCGAAUCCACCAUAAUGUCCAUCCUCUCUUUCCACUCCGGAGCGAUCUUGGACAGGAUACUGAUGAUGACAUCUCGGAUGUUCUCGUCGUCUUUUUCUUUUAAUCCUUGAAUUUUUAGGUUCCAUCGCCGUUUGUAGCGUUCUAUUUCAGCUACUUUUUCUUUCAGCUCUUUGUUUUCUUUAACAAGUUGUGGAACUUCUUUUUCCAUUUCUUUAAUUUUUACCUUGCAUUCUUUAAUCUCAGCUGCAUUCAUUUCCACAAGUCGAGAGAUAUUUGCUACCAUGACGGAGUUUUCUUUUAGCUGGUGACCAAAGUCCUCAAUUUUGCAGGUUAAUUUUUCAAUAGCGGUGAUUAGUGCUUCAUUCUGAGGGACUGCAGGCUCUUGAACAGGUUUCAUCUUUUGUGGCGGAGCAGAAGCUUUAGUAGGAGUACUCGGAGCAGGUUUCCUUUUCAUGUUGCUGCUUACCUCCAUCUGGGUGUAGUCGUGGUCACAGGUGUUUGUUUGUAGCGCUGUAGCUAGCUUAGCAUCGGCUUUUUUCAUUCUUAGACAAUGUUGUCUCGGCACACUGAGAGGUUUGAUAUUACUAAAAGUAUUCAAAUCGAAUAUGUCUUCAAUGGGGAUAAGUAUAUCAGUCCCAAAAUAUAUAUAUUCUUUUCACAAUCCGGGGCGAGGUUGGGCGAGCUUAGGUAAAGCGUGUCGCUCUUACCGCCAUGCCAGCGGAAGUCCAAGAAAGUUUCCUUUUGUGAUGCCAGCAGAACGUGUGUUUAUCACUAUUCUGUUCCUCAGUUCAACACGUG